CAGCUGUGGGCUCAGAGGCAGAGCUCUGGGGUGUCUCCACCAUGGCCUGGACCCCUCUCCUGCUCCCCCUCCUCACUCUCUGCACAGGUUCUGUGGCCUCCUCUGCUCUCUCUCAGCCACUUUCAGUGUCUGUGGCCCUGGGACAGACAGCCAGAGUCACCUGCCAGGGAGGAGGCUUAGGAACCUACACUGUGUACUGGUACCAGAAGGACCCAGGUCAGAGACCUGUGCUGAUUAUCUCUCGAGACAGUAACCGGCCCUCAGGGGUCCCCGAUCGAUUCUCCGGCUCCCGCUCAGGUGGAACGGCCACCCUGACCAUCACUGGGGCCCAGGCUGAGGACGAGGCUGACUAUUUCUGUCAGUCAUGGGACAGCACUGGUAACAACCCCACAGUGACACAGGGUAACAUGGAGUCUGAGGCCAUGGACGACUCUGUGGAAGCAGCUCAGGGAAGGACAGUCACUGUUCACUGA
Non-coding RNA from Tupaia belangeri chinensis (Chinese tree shrew), 473 nucleotides. Lineage: Eukaryota; Metazoa; Chordata; Mammalia; Scandentia; Tupaiidae. The record is from the annotation of a RefSeq genome assembly.